UGGGGAAUUUUGGACAAUGGGCGAAAGCCUGAUCCAGCCAUGCCGCGUGCAGGAUGAAGGCCUUCGGGUUGUAAACUGCUUUUGUACGGAACGAAAAGACUCUGGUUAAUACCUGGGGUCCAUGACGGUACCGUAAGAAUAAGCACCGGCUAACUACGUGCCAGCAGCCGCGGUAAUACGUAGGGUGCAAGCGUUAAUCGGAACUACUGGGCGUAAAGCGUGCGCAGGCGGUUAUAUAAGACAGAUGUGAAAUCCCCGGGCUCAACCUGGGAACUGCAUUUGUGACUGUAUAGCUAGAGUACGGCAGAGGGGGAUGGAAUUCCGCGUGUAGCAGUGAAAUGCGUAGAUAUGCGGAGGAACACCGAUGGCGAAGGCAAUCCCCUGGGCCUGUACUGACGCUCAUGCACGAAAGCGUGGGGAGCAAACAGGAUUAGAUACCCUGGUAGUCCACGCCCUAAACGAUGUCAACUGGGUUGUUGGGUCUUUCACUGACUCAGUAACGAAGCUAACGCGUGAAGUUGACCGCCUGGGGAGUANGCCCAAGGUUGAAACUCAAAGGA
Molecule: ribosomal RNA, 560 nt
Filed under: uncultured bacterium
Lineage: Bacteria
Description: partial 16S ribosomal RNA
Rfam family: Bacterial small subunit ribosomal RNA
Source: RNAcentral